CCUACGGGUGGCAGCAGUGGGGAAUAUUGCACAAUGGGGGAAACCCUGAUGCAGCGACGCCGCGUGGGUGAGGAAGUAUUUCGGUAUGUAAAGCUCUAUCAGCAGGGAAGAAAUAAAGUCCUUCGGACUUUGGACGCUACCUUACUAAGAAGCCCCGGCUAACUAUGUGCCAUCAGCCGCGGUAAUACGUAGGGGGCAAUCGUUAUCCGGAUUUACUGGGUGUAAAGGGAGCGUAGACGGCAGCGCAAGUCUGGAGUGAAAUCCCAUGGCUUAACCAUGGAACUGCUUUGGAAACUGUGCAGCUGGAGUGCAGGAGAGGUAAGCGGAAUUCCUAGUGUAGCGGUGAAAUGCGUAGAUAUUAGGAGGAACACCAGUGGCGAAGGCGGCUUACUGGACUGUAACUGACGUUGAGGCUCGAAAGCGUGGGGAGCGAACAGGAUUAGAUACCCUUGUAGUC
This 457-nucleotide ribosomal RNA is filed under the name uncultured bacterium. Its description in RNAcentral is "partial 16S ribosomal RNA". It matches the Rfam family "Bacterial small subunit ribosomal RNA", at positions 338 to 795 of the family's 1533-position model. The record is from RNAcentral.